GACGAACGCUGGCGGCGUGCUUAACACAUGCAAGUCGAACGGAAAGGCCCCUUUGGGGGUACUCGAGUGGCGAACGGGUGAGUAACACGUGAGUAACCUGCCCUUGACUUCGGGAUAACUUCAGGAAACUGGGGCUAAUACCGGAUAGGAAUCCUUGCUGCAUGGUGGGGGUUGGAAAGCUUCGGCGGUUUUGGCUGGACUCGCGGCUUAUCAGCUUGUUGGUGGGGUAGUGGCUUACCAAGGCUUUGACGGGCAGCCGGCCUGCGAGGGCGACCGGCCACCUUGGGACUGGGAUACGGCCCAGACUCCUACGGGAGGCAGCAGUGGGGAAUAUUGCACAAUGGGCGGAAGCCUGAUGCAGCAACGCCGCGUGCGGGAUGACGGCCUUCGGGUUGCAAACCGCUUUCAGCAGGGGCGAAGCUUGUGGUGACGGUACCUUCAGAAGAAGCACCGGCUAACUACGUG
Molecule: ribosomal RNA, 465 nt
Filed under: uncultured bacterium
Lineage: Bacteria
Description: partial 16S ribosomal RNA
Rfam family: Bacterial small subunit ribosomal RNA
Source: RNAcentral